RNAcentral lists this non-coding RNA (30 nucleotides) under Rattus norvegicus (Norway rat). The record is from RNAcentral. Lineage: Eukaryota; Metazoa; Chordata; Mammalia; Rodentia; Muridae.
UACAUCAAGUUAUUUAUUCUCAAUGUGAGU